UGAAGAAGAGAAUGUUAUGGGUGAUGAGGAAGGGGAGGGUAGUGAAGGUGAAGAGAAGGAUGGUCAAGCCGAUGAAGAUUCUGACUCAAAAGAAAAAAAUGAUAAUGGCAAGUUGAUGAUGAUGCCACUGAUAGUGAGGAGAAGGUAGAUAAGUAGACAAUGUAACUAGGUUUUAGUUACUUUGUGUGGUUUAUUUUGUUGUAAGUCCGUUUUAGGUAGUGCUCUUGUAAUUCUAUGUUAUUGUUAUGUCGCUUGUUAUGUUUUAUUUUUCAGAAAUUUGCAACUAUUUUCAGACUAUUUAUUUGUAUUUAUUAUGUUAUUUAUAUGGCUGUGUUUGUAGAUUAUGUUGUUCGCAAUUUAUUGUUGGUCUUCUUAUUUUACUUGUUGUUUUUAUUUUGUUAUGUAGUUUUUUUUUUAGUUGUUGAAGUCUUUCACAAAAAAUAACUUCACUUUUUUCCAUUUUCUUUUUCCUUUAUUUUCUGUAUCAAGAAUUUCGUUGAUUUCAAUGACGGCCCUACUCAAAUAGAUGUUGAGGCUACUGUUCAGUCCGGGGUAAAAGCAGUUGAGCUUAUGAUGUCUUCAGAUGGAAUUGGUGGUGAUCCUUGUAAACAGAUUUCAGUUUCUGAAAAUGUUGAGGUUACGGAUCGUCGUCUUGUUUGUUUUGAGAUGGGUGCAACAGGUCUCAAUGUUGAUUCUAACAUUGAACUUGAAGAUGACCCAAUUCCCGUUGAAGAAACUCCUCUUGUUGACAAGAGGAAAUCUAAGAAACCCAUAGCGCUGACGUCUCCGUUUAUGGAGUAUGACUCUUCCAUUUCUAGUUCUAAAGAUGGUUCUGGUUAUGGAGUUGUUAAGUAUGUGGCUGGGUUGUGUCCUCUCGAUGAUAAGAUUGGUGAAGAUGUAGAACAUAAAGACGAGAUUGAUUUUGACUUGUGGCUUGGUGAAGGACGCCGAUCGAAGAAAGAUCCGUAAGUGUUUAUUUUCAGCAUUUUUGUUGUGUUUUUGUAUUUUUUGUUUUUUACUUUACUAUUUAUGUUUCAUUUUUUUUAAAUGUUAGUCAUGACAAGGAGAAGGUUUACUUGAAGGGUAAGGAUAAGAUUGUUCCCCCUUUUCGUUUUGGCGUGGAAGAUGUUGCAACCAAGAUGUGGUUCCACAAGCUUGCAUAUCCUGGCCAAUGUUUGACUAAUUCUCAUCUGGACAUCAUUUUUUACUAUCUACGUAAAAAAGGAAAGUAUGCAAAGGAGCCAAAGGUUAAGUUCACAACCACCGAUUGCUUAUUCUUCAAAACCAUUCAUGCUCUGUAUGAAAAAUUUAUUGCACAGGAAA
Cannabis sativa is the source of this 1323-nucleotide RNA transcript. RefSeq lists it as uncharacterized. The transcript is spliced from 4 exons. The record is from RefSeq and is a predicted model, not a curated record. Lineage: Eukaryota; Viridiplantae; Streptophyta; Magnoliopsida; Rosales; Cannabaceae.